CGAGCGGCGUGUGUGAAGCCGGAAGGAGCCGGUAAAGGAUUUGGCGAUAGAGAUUUACGACAAAUUAACGGCAAGCAGCUGGGCGAGAGUGCAGGAAGAAAAGAGGGCAGACCGCCCUGACAGCGUGGGGAAGCGGAGCGUGUCGUACGCAUUAACAAUGGAAGAUGCGGGAGGCCGGCCCGCCACUACACGGACUCGAUGCCGGGGCGGACAGAGGAGCGCGUCGCAGCAGAGGUAUGUUUCCCUGCCGAUGAGUGUAGACCGGAGGACAAAGAGGAUGCACAGGAAAAGAAUAAGGCCAAGCAGCAGUUUGCUGGCACCGUUAUGUGCCAAGAGAAGCUGUGCAGAGCCGACACCAGCCAAAGGAUUAAUGAUCCCGGGGGAGGCUAAGGUAAGCUCACGGCUCCGGCCUGACAUCUUUGUACUUGUAAGAGCACACAAAUUAGCCGGGCGACGCGGCGAGUAAUGGCCGGGCAGCCCCGCGUCAGGCCCGUUUAACAAUGUGGGCGAGGAGGGAAGCGCGGGGAGCUGCUGGCUACUGUCACCUGAGGAUGUGCUCUCGGCAAACCUACAGCCACCGUGUCACCCCAUGUUAUUUAAACUGUGCUCCAAAAAUACAACCCAUCCGCUCGCUAAUGCGCUUCACAUCCUGCGCUGCACCCCACGUUUGCCAGAAAGAAAAAAACAGUCGCGCUUAUGAGCCCCCGAAUGCCAGCGUGGCCGGAUUAUUAAAAAGCUCAGGCAAAACGACGCUAUUACAAUUAUUCCAUCGAUCCAUGCCUUUUCCGUAAGUGCUUAUCCCCGGAAGCACAGGGCACGAAGCAGGGACACCGCGGAUGCCGUGCCUGAUACAGCACGUUACGGUUUAGUUUUUAUUUUUUUGUAAAAAAUACUUUUUUCCCAUAGCAUUGUGCUGACGACACUCAUGUACUGCUCAUUAUUUGACUUUCUCUGUAUGAGGUCAUUGUUCAUCCUCUCCAUCUGUCCAUCCAUGUAUCCACCCAUCCAUGUAUCCAGCCAUCCAUGUAUCCAUCCAUGCAUCCAUCCAACCAUGCCUCCAUUCAUCCAUCUUACAGCAAUUUAGUAUCUAGUACAGGG
This is a long non-coding RNA of Brienomyrus brachyistius, 1098 nucleotides long. RefSeq lists it as uncharacterized. The transcript has 3 exons. NCBI's taxonomy places the organism in Eukaryota, Metazoa, Chordata, Actinopteri, Osteoglossiformes, Mormyridae. The record is from RefSeq and is a predicted model, not a curated record.